Long non-coding RNA from Monodelphis domestica (gray short-tailed opossum), 3378 nucleotides. RefSeq lists it as uncharacterized. NCBI's taxonomy places the organism in Eukaryota, Metazoa, Chordata, Mammalia, Didelphimorphia, Didelphidae. The record is from RefSeq and is a predicted model, not a curated record.
UUGAACCUUUAGUCCAUGUCUCUAGAGCUAGUGCUUUUCCCAUUGUACUAUUCUGCACAUGCAUACACAUUCUCUGUCUCUAUUGCUUUCUCUCUUUCUCUUUCUCUUUCUCUCUGUCUCUCUGCCUCUGUCUCUGUCUUUCUCUCUGUGUGUGUAUGUGUGUGUGUGUGUAUGUAUAUUUCUGUCUCUAUAUUUAUCUCUAUCUCUGUCUCUGUCUCUCAUUUUGGGGGUGGGGGAGGAAUCAGACCUAUAAUACCAUUUAUGUUAGAAACAUUCAGUACAAAAACUCUUUUCAAUGAUGUGGAUCUUCAUUUUAUGUAUAAUGUAAAGUAUUAGAGAGUUGCUUGUAGUAUUUGGAGGUUAAAUGGCUUGCCCAUAGUUAGUUACAUGUUUUGUGUGAAUGUAGUACUUGUAUUCAAGACUUCUUGAUCCCAAGGCAGUCCAUCACUACACCAUACUACCUUUCUGCCACAAGAUAAUUAUAAUCCUAAUAGGUUAUUAUAAUAGCAUAUGUUUUAUUUAUUGAAAGAGAAGUGCAUACAUUGAUAAUAUGAAAUGGGUUUUGAAUUCACAUUCAUUUCAUAUCAUCACACAUUUAGAAUCACUGAACCAGACAUUAGAAGGUACCUUAGAGAUUAUCUCGUCUAGCUUCUUCAUUUAACAUGAAAGAAAUGGAGCUCAGAGAUAUGACAGGACCUGCCCAAAAUCACACAAGUACUAAGUAACAGAGCUGGAAUUGAAACCAAAUCCUUGGAUUUCAAUUUGUGGAACCCCUUUCCUCCUCCUCACCACUAUCCCUCUGUUUCCCUGCUGUAUUAUUCUGUUUAUUAUUAUUGUUGUUGUUGUUAUUAUAGACUUAGAAUUAAAUGGAAAAUAGAUAUAGAUACAAUAUAUUCUGUCUCCCUGUGGGUGUGGAUGUGGGUACAUGGGGUGUUUCAGAGAGUUCUAGCCCCUCUUGUAUGAGAGCUUGUCAAAACCUUUUCAGGGCUACUGUGACAAGGAAAUCACUUUAAAAGCCUGAUAUAUAUUAAUUUAAGGUUGCCAAGGAAUUCAGCUAUGUAAUUCCUAAAUAAAAACUCAAGUCAGCAGUCAACCUUUUAUGGAGUUUAAUUACAAACAGGAGGAAGAAAGGUAUUAGAGAUAGAGAGAGAGAGGGAGAGAGAAAGGGGAGAGAAGGGAAUAGGGCUUAAAUACCCCCUCUGUUUAGGCUGGGCCAAAAGGCCCAAGCCCUUAGAUAGCUGAGGCAAAGGAAAGAGAUCAGUCCCUAUCACUCACGUGACCAAAAUGGAGAAACAGUCUCAGGGGCCUCCACCUCCAGCUUCCUUCAGAGCAAGCUUCUCAGAGCACCUCUCCAACCAACCACCCACUAGCCCUCAGACCCCGCUAUCUUUAAGGAAACCAUCCAAGUUCCCUCCCCUCAGUUCUCACAUCUACCAAUCACUGUCCAUGUCUUCCCUGUGCCAAUUGUGGCUCUACCUUAACCCAGGACCUCCCAGAGGACUGUGGCUUUGCACAUGUCUGUUGAAGGUCAUAUUCUCAAAUAAUUAAAUCUUGAUCCUUUGCUACAGCCCUUCCUAAUUCCUGUUACCCUGAGUAGGGUGGAGAGUGGAAUAAUUAAAUUUUGAUCUAUGCUGCAGCCCUUUCCAUUGUUCAGCAAAAGGUUUCUGUCCUAAAGUAAUCUUAAGAAGGGAGGAGGAGGAACCUCCCUUGCCAAUGGGGUUCACAUUCCAAUGGUGAAAUUUCCAACAUUCACAAGUCUAAGAAAUUUUAAGGUUUACACUACUCAUCCACCUUUGGUGUCAACCUUUGACCCAGCUCCUGGAUCCUCUCUUUUAACCUUUGUCUCCUCUCUCACCAGGCAGGUUAAACCAGGUUGAGGAUAAUUGAUAGGACUUGAACCUGUCAGGUGAAUUAAGGCAAUGUCUACCCUAAGCAUGUGAAGACUUCCCUAGGGGAAUGGUGGAUGAGAACUAUUUGUUCCAAUGUCCUUGGAGUCUCUUUCUAAAGCAGGGGCCAUGGAGAACUUAGAGGUUGGUGAGACCUUAAAGCCACUAUGUUAUCCACUGAUUCAUGGGCCAUCACUAGGCAUCCUGACACAUCUUGUCACUGGAUAUGAGCACCUCUACAAGAGAGAGUAAGGCUGAUGACUUUGUGAAACUGCCUCACUUCAAUCAAGUUCAUACAUUCUUCAGGAAGAAGCAUUUGCGUGCACUGGAGGCUGAAUCCUAGACUUUUUUUUCUUCACAUUUUCUGCAAGGAAGUGGGUCUAAUAAAAAGGAGGAGCCUGCAGGAGGACAGAAGUCUACAUGAGAAGAGGCUGAAGGUAUCAUAUCAAGUCCCACCAGAUUUGAGAGACUUAAAGACUUUGGGGAAAUGGGGUAGUAUUUUGAUUGUUAGAUUUUGCCAAAGGCAGACUGCCUGCCUUUCUGACUCAAAUUGUCAAUGUGCCAUUGGCAUUGGGAAAUGCCCCCAAAUGCCAAUUACCAGUAUCUGUACCCUAGGUUUUCCCACCAUUAGCGAUGGAGCCCAACCCCAUAUAGCAUUACUCAUUUGUCCAUAUAUUUGGUCAAUGAUGUUUAGUCCUGAACAAAAGAGGGGUGAGUCAAUGUGGAAAUCUUGAAGUCGCCAGUUUAUUUAGUCGGGAGGUAGAAACCACAGGAUUUGACCUUGUUACUGGAGAGUUUCCCCCACUACGGGAAGGUCCUACCCCCAUAAUGCAGCUUCUUAGAGAGUAAGAUUAGAGCUGGGUGGGAGGUAGACUCUAAAGGAGAAGGUAGUCCUGAAAGGGGUUCAGGCCAGCCCUGAUUCCGGAGAUGCUAGUCUUCCCUGAACACCUUAUUUAUGUGCCAAAUAUCCUGUUAAUUACUGUAUUACCUGCAAUACUUGACUCACAAGUACUUUGUGAAACAGGGAAUGCAAUACAAUGAUCACUCCCCAAAGUGGAGUCUAAAACAAAGAAUUUAAGUGACUCAGUAAUUCUUAAAAGAUUUCAGACUCAAAUUCAGUUCUUUUGAUUCCAAGUCUGAGCUCUUUCCCCAAAGUCAUGUUGCCCCUUGUUAGAAAGAGAUUACAUAGGAACCAGGAAUACAGGGGACUGUGUUUAUUUUUGUUGGGCUCAGAUAAAAACUUAGGACCCCCAUAAAUCGCAAUUUAAGAGGAGCAUUCCUUCCGGGAAGUCAGGCAGAACAGGAUGCCCCUAAGCCCCUUAUCAGUAACAGCCUGGUGACCCUUAUUAGCCAGUAGCUGUAAUUGGAAAACUGUUCUCUACACCUAUAGAACAGAAUAUAAACCCUGCAUCAACCCCGAGGCGGGGUCCAGACUUGUACUUUUGGUCCUGGACCCUAACUUGAACUAGCAAUAAAGUUUCCCUUGUGAUUA